RNAcentral lists this ribosomal RNA (1631 nucleotides) under human gut metagenome. Its description in RNAcentral is "bacterial LSU rRNA". It matches the Rfam family "Bacterial large subunit ribosomal RNA", at positions 508 to 2148 of the family's 2925-position model. The record is from RNAcentral.
GGAAAGGUGAAAAGAACCCCGAACAGGGGAGUGAAAUAGAACCUGAAACCAUACGCUUACAACCGGUCGGAGCAGCUUCGUGCUGUGACGGCGUGCCUAUUGAAUAAUGAGCCUACGAGUUACUAAUCACUGGCAAGGUUAAGUGCACGGAUGCACGGAGCCGAAGCGAAAGCGAGUCUGAAUAGGGCGUUUAGUCAGUGGUUGUAGACGCGAAACCUUGCGAUCUACCCUUGAGCAGGUUGAAGGUUGGGUAAAACCAACUGGAGGACCGAACGAAUAAGCGUUGAAAAGCUUCUCGAUGACUUGAGGGUAGGGGUGAAAGGCUAAUCAAGCUGGGAAAUAGCUCGUACUCCCCGAAAUGCCUUUAGGGGCAGCGUUGUAAUUAAGAGUCUACUGGAGGUAGAGCUACUGAUUGGAUGCGGGGGCUUCACCGCCUACCAAAUCCUGACAAACUCCGAAUGCCAGUAGUAUGAUUUACAGCAGUGAGCGACCGGGUGCUAAUGUCCGGUUACGAGAGUGGAACAACACAGACCAGCAACUAAGGUCCCCAAGAGUAUACUAAGUUGAUCUAACGAUGUUUUGCUGCAGAGACAGCUAGGAUGUUAGCUUGGAAGCAGCUAUUCAUUCAAAGAGUGCGUAACAGCUCACUAGUCGAGCGACAGAGCGUGGAUAAUAAACGGGCAUCAAGCAUAUCACCGAAGUUCUGGGCGCGAGAGCGCGGUAGGGGAGCAUUCCAUUCAGCGUCGAAGCAGUUUCGUGAGGAAUUGUGGAGCGUAUGGAAAAGCAAAUGUAGGCAUGAGUAACGAUAAUGCGGGAGAGUAACCCGCACACCGCAAGACCAAGGUUUCCUGAUCAACGCUAAUCGGAUCAGGGUUAGUCGGGUCCUAAGGGUAAGCCGAACGGUGAUCUCGAUGGACAAUCGGUUAAUAUUCCGAUACUAACAUAUACCUCGAUGGAGAGACGAAGGAACGUAAGUGCCGCCACCUGACGGAAUAGGUGGUUAAAGGGCUUAGGUAUAGGGGCAGAUUAAGAGUUAGUCCUUGCUGAAACCUGACAGUACAGAGAGCCUACGGGCAAUUUGAUAGUGCACCCAAGUCGACUUCCGAGAAAAUCUUCUAAGUUAUAGUAUAUGUCACCCGUACCGUAAACCGACACAGGUGGUCGAGGAGAGUAUCCUAAGGUGCUCGAGUGAAUCACGGUUAAGGAACUAGGCAAAUUAACCCCGUAACUUCGGGAAAAGGGGUCCCUAUGAAAGUAGGGCGCAGCGAAGAGGUCCAGGCGACUGUUUAUCAAAAACACAGGGCUCUGCAAAUUCGAAAGAAGACGUAUAGGGCCUGACACCUGCCCGGUGCUGGAAGGUUAAGAGGGGAUGUCAUCGCAAGAGAAGCAUUGAAUCGAAGCCCCAGUAAACGGCGGCCGUAACUAUAACGGUCCUAAGGUAGCGAAAUUCCUUGUCGGGUAAGUUCCGACCUGCACGAAUGGUGUAACGAUCUGGACACUGUCUCAACCGUGAGCUCGGUGAAAUUGUAGUCCCGGUGAUGAUGCCGGGUACCCGCAACGGGACGAAAAGACCCCGUGAACCUUUACUAUAGCUUAACGCUGAAUUUGGGUACACAAUGUGUAGGAUAGGC